RNAcentral lists this ribosomal RNA (253 nucleotides) under uncultured bacterium. Its description in RNAcentral is "partial 16S ribosomal RNA". It matches the Rfam family "Bacterial small subunit ribosomal RNA", at positions 524 to 776 of the family's 1533-position model. The record is from RNAcentral.
UACGUAGGGGGCAAGCGUUGUCCGGAAUCAUUGGGCGUAAAGCGCGUGUAGGCGGUCCGGUAAGUCGGCUGUGAAAGUCCAGGGCUCAACCCUGGGAUGCCGGUCGAUACUGCCGGACUAGAGUCCGGAAGAGGCGAGUGGAAUUCCCGGUGUAGCGGUGAAAUGCGCAGAUAUCAGGAAGAACACCCGUGGCGAAGGCGGCUUUCUGGGACGGUACUGACGCUGAGACGCGAAAGCGUGGGGAGCGAACAGG